GCCUAAAGGCUGAACCAGCAACUUGGAAGAACGAAAAACCGAAGUCACGAGCGGUUACCAUGUAUAUAGAAUGUGGGGCAUUAUGCGAAUAGUUCAAAGUAAAUUUUGAUAAUGACAUUAUCUACUUUUAGGUCUUGACCAACUCAUGUGCCAGCAGUCGCGGUAAGACAUGGAAGGCCAGCGUUAUUCAUCUUUAUUAGGUUUAAAGGGUACCUAGACGGUAAAUUUUAGCUUUUUGUAAUUGUACUUAUUUACUAGAGUUUUAUAUAAAGAAUCCAGAACGGUAAGUGUAGGGAUAGAAUCUGUGAUACUGCUUAGAAACUGGUUUAUGUGAAGACAGGUUCUUAUGUAAAACUGACGUUAGGACGAAAGCUCAUUUAAGGACGGGAUUAGUUACCCCAGUACUAAGGCAGACAUUAUGAUGCCCAUAUGUAAGGAAAAUUUUUAUGUAUAAAGAAAAGUGUAAGCAUUCCACCUCAAGAGUAAUAUGGCAACAUAUAAACUGAAAUCACUAGGCCGUUUCUGGAACUCGUAGUGAAGUAUGUUAUUUAAUUUGAUGACCCACAAAGGACCUUACCACAGUGUGUAUAGAUAUAUAUGUAUAUAUCGGACAAGUGUUGCACGGCUGUCUACAGUUGAUAUCGUGAGAACUGAUUUACUUCAGAAAUCAACGUAAUCCCUGACUUUACUUAAAGUAAAGUACUAAUUCCUAUAAUGUACCCUUUAUGGAUUUAAUAUAUGGGAGCAUGACAAGUCAUCAUGGCCAAAAAUACAAAUUGAUAGUACUGUGGGCGAUAGACGUGCCACAUUUCGCCUUAACAAAAAGAUGCAUAAUUAAAAAAUUAAGCUAAUCUUUAAAAUAG
This 863-nucleotide ribosomal RNA is filed under the name Bezerroplaca lucernifera. RNAcentral describes it as "SSU rRNA". It matches the Rfam family "Bacterial small subunit ribosomal RNA", at positions 374 to 1283 of the family's 1533-position model. The record is from RNAcentral. Lineage: Eukaryota; Fungi; Ascomycota; Lecanoromycetes; Ostropales; Graphidaceae.